RNAcentral lists this ribosomal RNA (253 nucleotides) under uncultured bacterium. RNAcentral describes it as "partial 16S ribosomal RNA". It matches the Rfam family "Bacterial small subunit ribosomal RNA", at positions 524 to 776 of the family's 1533-position model. The record is from RNAcentral.
UACGUAGGUGGCAAGCGUUGUCCGGAUUUAUUGGGUUUAAAGGGUGCGUAGGCGGUUUUCUAAGUCAGACGUGAAAUCCCUCGGCUUAACCGGGGAACUGCGUCUGAUACUGGAUGGCUAGAGGUUGGGAGAGGGAUGCGGAAUUCCAGGUGUAGCGGUGAAAUGCGUAGAUAUCUGGAGGAACACCGGUGGCGAAGGCGGCAUCCUGGACCAAUUCUGACGCUGAGGAGCGAAAGCCAGGGGAGCAAACGGG